Molecule: long non-coding RNA, 1535 nt
Filed under: Homo sapiens (human)
Lineage: Eukaryota; Metazoa; Chordata; Mammalia; Primates; Hominidae
Description: HSALNT0392466
Source: RNAcentral
UCUCCUCGCAGGACCCCUAUUUGUGACCAAUUGUAAGAUCAUCUGAAGAUCGAGUCCGAUUGCCUGGCCAGGCCGGGCUGGGUGGUAUGUGCCCCCGUCACGCCGGAGGUUCCUGCUUUAGCGACGCCAAAGAUUGGGUGUGAGGGCAGCCCGCGGUGACAGAGACACGGAUCGGACCGAGAGAAAAAGGCUGUGGGCUUCACUGAGCAGAGUGACGGCUGGAGUGCAAUGGAGGGAUCUUGGCUCACUGCAACCUCUACCUCCCAGGUUCAAGCAGUUCUCCUGCCUCCACCUCUAGAGUAGCUGGGAUUACAGGCACGUGCCACCACACUCGGCUAAUUUUUGUAUUUUUAGUAGAGACAAGGCUUCACCAUGUUGGCCAGUCUAGUCUCGAACUCCUGACCUCAGGUGAUCUGCCUGCCUCGGCCUUCCAAAGUGCUGGGAUUACAGACAUAAGCCACCUCGCCUGGCCUCUUCUCAUUACUUUCAUGCUGAAAUGUUUUAUAACAUAUACUACAACAAGCAGGAAUAUCAAAUAUCCUGCUUUAGGAUCUCCAUCUCAAAAGAAGAAAAAAAUACCUCCCAACCCUGUGUGACGGUUAAUAUAGAGUGUCAACUUGAUUGGAUUGAAGGAUGCAAAGUAUUGUUCCUGGGUGUUUCUGAGAGGGUGUUGCCAAAGGAGAUUAACAUUUGAGGCAGCGGACUGGGAGAGGCAGACCCACCCUCAAUGUGAGUGGGCACCAUCUAAUCAGCUCCAGCGCUGCUAGGAUAAAGCAGUCAGAGGAACGUGGAAGGAACGUGAGUCUUCUGGCCUCCAUCUCUCCCGUGCUGGAUGCUUCCCGCCCUCAAACAUCGGACUCCAAAUUCUUGAGCUUUUGGACUCUUGGACUUACACCAGUGGUUUGCCAGGGGCUCUCAGUCCUUCAUCCACAGACUGAAAGCUGCACUGUCGGCUACCCUGCUUUUGACGUUUUGGGAGGCAGACUGGUUUCCUUGCUCGUCAGCUUGCAAAUGGCCUAUUGUGGGACUUCCUCUUGUGAUCGUUCAAUUCACAGGACCUCCACAGUGUGCCUUUUGCUGGGUAGGAAAAUGCCAGCCAGCUUGGAAAACAAGAAGACACAUUUAUGUCUACCAUGAGCAUUGGCAUCAGCCAAUUAUCCCACACGUUUUCGGCUAGUCAGUGCUGAAGAGAGCAAGAAUUUCAACCCUUCUUGCUACAUUCAAGACAUAGAAAUCCAGCCAGAAGACAACUCGAGAUAUUUUGUGGAUCUAUGCCUUUCCUUCAGAAAAGCAAAUAUCUACCAUAAAAAAACACUGGUCCAAUAUUCACUUCUAUAAGAAAUGCAGGGGCAAAUAAAUUAUGGAUUUUAUUAUCGCUAAUAGAGUCACUUAACCAUUACUCCUUACUACAUUCUGCUUUUCUAACAAAAUUUCGACUGAAUAUUCUCCCUCAGAGCCUCCAAAAGGAACCAACUGAUGACAACUGAUUUUGGACUUCUGGCCUCCUGAACUAUAACAAAAUAAACAUCUGUUGU